UACGUAGGGUGCAAGCGUUAAUCGGAAUUACUGGGCGUAAAGCGUGCGCAGGCGGUUUGGAAAGAAAGAUGUGAAAUCCCAGAGCUUAACUUUGGAACUGCAUUUUUAACUGCCAAGCUAGAGUAUGUCAGAGGGGGGUAGAAUUCCACGUGUAGCAGUGAAAUGCGUAGAGAUGUGGAGGAAUACCGAUGGCGAAGGCAGCCCCCUGGGAUAAUACUGACGCUCAUGCACGAAAGCGUGGGGAGCAAACAGGAUUAGAUACCCUGGUAGUCCACGCCCUAAACGAUGUCAACUAGCUGUUGGGGCCUUCGGGCCUUAGUAGCGCAGCUAACGCGUGAAGUUGACCGCCUGGGGAGUACGGUCGCAAGAUUAAA
RNAcentral lists this ribosomal RNA (374 nucleotides) under uncultured bacterium. RNAcentral describes it as "bacterial SSU rRNA". It matches the Rfam family "Bacterial small subunit ribosomal RNA", at positions 524 to 898 of the family's 1533-position model. The record is from RNAcentral.